RNAcentral lists this ribosomal RNA (467 nucleotides) under uncultured bacterium. RNAcentral's name for it is "SSU rRNA". It matches the Rfam family "Bacterial small subunit ribosomal RNA", at positions 26 to 518 of the family's 1533-position model. The record is from RNAcentral.
AGCCUGAACGCUGGCGGCGUGGCUAAGACAUGCAAGUCGUACGGACGUAGCAAUACGUCAGUGGCGAACGGGAGAGUAAUGAAUCGCUAACGUGCCCUUUUGUCUGGGAUAGCCGUGGGAAACCGCGGGUAAUACCAGAUGAUAUGACCCUGUCGCAUGGCGGGGUUCUCAAAGGCGUAAGCCGCAGAGGGAGCGGGCGAUUUCGUAUCAGCUAGUUGGUGGGGUAAUGGCUCACCAAGGCGACGACGCGUAGCCGGACUGAGAGGUUGGCCGGCCUCAUUGGGACUGAGACACUGCCCAGACUCCUACGGGGGGCUGCAGUAACGAAUCUUCCGCAAUGCACGCAAGUGUGACGGAGCGACGCCGCGUGUGGGACGAAGUUCUUCGGAAUGUAAACCACUGUCAGGGGCAGCCAAGUUCUGAGGCGCCCCAGAGGAAGGCACGGCUAACUCUGUGCCAGCAGCCGC